AGCAGCCGCGGUAAUUCCAGCUCCAAUAGCGUAUAUUAAAGUUGUUGCAGUUAAAAAGCUCGUAGUUGAAUUUCGGGAUCAAUAUGCUGGUCGUGCCAUUGGUACGUACUAGUAUUAUUGGUUUCUUCCUUCUGAUGAAUCAUGAUGUCAUUAAGUUGAUGUCAUGGGGAAUCAGGACUGUUACCUUGAAAAAUUAGAGUGUUUAAAGCAGGCUCGCGCUUGAAUACAUUAGCAUGGAAUAAUGAAAUAGGACGUUUGAUUCUAUUUUGUUGGUUUCUAGAAUUGACGUAAUGAUUAAUAGGGAUAGUUGGGGGCAUUAGUAUUCAAUUGUCAGAGGUGAAAUUCUUGGAUUUAUUGAAGACUAACUACUGCGAAAGCAUUUGCCAAGGAUGUUUUCAUUAAUCAAGAACGAAAGUUAGGGGAUCGAAGACGAUCAGAUACCGUCGUAGUCUUAACCAUAAACUAUGCCGACUAGGGAUCGGAUGAUGUAAUUUUUAAUGUAA
RNAcentral lists this ribosomal RNA (503 nucleotides) under uncultured Glomus. RNAcentral's name for it is "SSU rRNA". It matches the Rfam family "Eukaryotic small subunit ribosomal RNA", at positions 569 to 1077 of the family's 1831-position model. The record is from RNAcentral. Lineage: Eukaryota; Fungi; Glomeromycota; Glomeromycetes; Glomerales; Glomeraceae.